Long non-coding RNA from Herpailurus yagouaroundi (jaguarundi), 754 nucleotides. RefSeq lists it as uncharacterized. The record is from RefSeq and is a predicted model, not a curated record. NCBI's taxonomy places the organism in Eukaryota, Metazoa, Chordata, Mammalia, Carnivora, Felidae. The transcript has 2 exons.
CUCAUAGACCAUGAGAUCAUGACCCGAGCUGAAGUCGGACGCUUAACCGACUGAGCCACCCAGGCGCCCCGGUUUAUUUUUCAAUAAUAAUUCCCUACGACCUUUGGUGCAACAGUGGGCAUUAGCCCCCCAGGAAGAGCGAACCCUGUUCCCUGGCUCAAGACAGGGAGGGAGGCACAUGUGAUCUGUCUUGUGCUUGGCCUAGUUCAGGGACUCCAUGAAUUUCCUUGAAACAGUGACUAAGAGUCAACGCUGGGAACAAAGAAGGGCUUAAUCAUUUACUGGGCUCAGACCUUGUGGCUCACCUCCAGAGGUGAGAGGCAGAGAGAGUCAGAGGCAUCGCCCGGACGGCAAGCAGGAGUCCCCGCUUGUGCAGCACGAGCAUGGAGUCUGGGAAGGGUGAGAAGGCUGUGUUUGUCACGUGCUGGCCGCUCUAACGUAGGAUGCCCCAAACGGAGCCAGCACCUUACUUCCCAGAUCUCUUGCCAGCUCUUUCCCCAAGCCCCAGGCUUCAUGGAGGACGUGACCACACACCUGGGUAUGAGUCACCAUCGAUGCCUUUCUGUCUCUCACCUCCCAGUUCAAGCCAUGACUGAUUCCUGUUCAUCGUGUCUCCUGGUGGUUCUGGGAUCUGUCCCAGCCUCCCCAUCUGUAAGGGACAGACUCUACUACCUAGUUGGGAAGUUUGUCUUGCAAGAACCAUUGUACUUUGUAGACUAACUCGGGUAUUUCUGGAUUAAAGGCUUAAAUAAUG